AGCAGAAGCAGGGAGGUUCUCCCA
Molecule: microRNA, 24 nt
Filed under: Pan troglodytes (chimpanzee)
Lineage: Eukaryota; Metazoa; Chordata; Mammalia; Primates; Hominidae
Also listed under: 1 other name
Description: ptr-miR-298
Gene: ptr-miR-298
Source: miRBase by way of RNAcentral